UAAUACGGAGGGUGCAAGCGUUGUUCGGAAUUACUGGGCGUAAAGGGCGUGCAGGCGGGUUGGUAAGUCAGAUGUGAAAGCCCUGGGCUUAACCCAGGAAGUGCAUUUGAAACUGCCAUCCUAGAGUAUGGGAGAGGAGAGUGGAAUUCCCAAUGUAGAGGUGAAAUUCGUAGAUAUUGGGAGGAACACCCGUGGCGAAGGCAACUCUCUGGACCAAUACUGACGCUGAGACGCGAAAGCGUGGGGAGCAAACAGGAUUAGAUACCCUGGUAGUCCACGCUGUAAACGAUGAGAACUAGGUGUAGCGGGUAUUGACCCCUGCUGUGCCGAAGUUAACGCAUUAAGUUCUCCGCCUGGGGAGUACGGCCGCAAGGCUA
This 377-nucleotide ribosomal RNA is filed under the name uncultured delta proteobacterium. RNAcentral describes it as "bacterial SSU rRNA". It matches the Rfam family "Bacterial small subunit ribosomal RNA", at positions 521 to 896 of the family's 1533-position model. The record is from RNAcentral. Lineage: Bacteria; Deltaproteobacteria.